CUUUCCCAGCUGCUGGUGUUUCAGCUGAGGUAGGUUUCCUGGUUUGCCCUCAUUUCUCAUCUCUGCAGCCUCCUCCUGACUUUUAGAAAUUAUUGCUGUAUAAGAGCUGAGCAUCUUGUGUGGCAUUCAAGAGGAGACGAGUUAGUUUCAAGCAGCAGAGCUUUGCUGAGCUGACCUGGCUCUUCUAAAUCAGACUACGCCAUGAAGGGAGCAAUCAGCUCCAGCAAAGGGAAGGACAGCAAGCAGAUUAGAGCUGUGGAAGACUCAAAGAGGAAUCAGACGGGAUGAAUCUACAGACACAACAGCUAAGAGAGCCUUGGCUGCCAGACCUAGACUCUUCAAUCAACAGAGACAAGUGACACCCCAAUCAUCCAGCAGCAAGGAAGAAGCUUGUGUUCUGGACAAUUCACCCAUUAGAGUCUGUUUGCUGAGCCCAUUGAGAGGACACAUUUUCUGGUUGUUAUUUUGCAGGUACAGAUUUCAAUUAGCACGAAGAAGCUCUCAUUCUCACAUAAAUGUUCCCAGCUCCAGAUUGGUAUAUUUAACCAGGACUUUCCAGCUCCUAGGUGUAUAAACACCAAAAUUUCAUUGCUAUUUUUCCCCCAUUGACAUGAAAGGCAAACAUAAACAUGCUCAAGAGCUAGCCACGUUGACUGAAAUAUUUCUAAAGGGUCUUUUACACCUAAAGCACCCUCCACUUUUGUGUGGUUAAAUGCACAAUGUGUGAGAGACAUGAAGCAAAGAAAUUUUGUAAUUACAAAGAUAAUUUCUCAGGGCUUGUUAAUUAAUUUAUUUUAAUUUUUCCUCUUAUGCCAAUAAAGUCUUGCUUAACUAA
Non-coding RNA from Cyanistes caeruleus (blue tit), 835 nucleotides. The record is from RefSeq and is a predicted model, not a curated record. NCBI's taxonomy places the organism in Eukaryota, Metazoa, Chordata, Aves, Passeriformes, Paridae.